AAUGGACGCAAGUCUGAUGGAGCAACGCCGCGUGAGUGAAGAAGGGUUUCGGCUCGUAAAGCUCUGUUGUUAAAGAAGAACGUGGGUAAGAGUAACUGUUUACCCAGUGACGGUAUUUAACCAGAAAGCCACGGCUAACUACGUGCCAGCAGCCGCGGUAAUACGUAGGUGGCAAGCGUUAUCCGGAUUUAUUGGGCGUAAAGCGAGCGCAGGCGGUCUUUUAAGUCUAAUGUGAAAGCCUUCGGCUCAACCGAAGAAGUGCAUUGGAAACUGGGAGACUUGAGUGCAGAAGAGGACAGUGGAACUCCAUGUGUAGCGGUGAAAUGCGUAGAUAUAUGGAAGAACACCAGUGGCGAAGGCGGCUGUCUGGUCUGCAACUGACGCUGAGGCUCGAAAGCAUGGGUAGCGAACAGGAUUAGAUACCCUGGUAGUCCAUGCCGUAAACGAUGAUUACUAAGUGUUGGAGGGUUUCCGCCCUUCAGUGCUGCAGCUAACGCAUUAAGUAAUCCGCCUGGGGAGUACGACCGCAAGGUUGAAACUCAAAAGAAUUGACGGGGGCCCGCACAAGCGGUGGAGCAUGUGGUUUAAUUCGAAGCUACGCGAAGAACCUUACCAGGUCUUGACAUCUUCUGACAGUCUAAGAGAUUAGAGGUUCCCUUCGGGGACAGAAUGACAGGUGGUGCAUGGUUGUCGUCAGCUCGUGUCGUGAGAUGUUGGGUUAAGUCCCGCAACGAGCGCAACCCUUAUUACUAGUUGCCAGCAUUAAGUUGGGCACUCUAGUGAGACUGCCGGUGACAAACCGGAGGAAGGUGGGGACGACGUCAAAUCAUCAUGCCCCUUAUGACCUGGGCUACACACGUGCUACAAUGGAUGGUACAACGAGUCGCGAGACCGCGAGGUUAAGCUAAUCUCUUAAAACCAUUCUCAGUUCGGACUGUAGGCUGCAACUCGCCUACACGAAGUCGGAAUCGCUAGUAAUCGCGGAUCAGCAUGCCGCGGUGAAUACGUUCCCGGGCCUUGUACACACCGCCCGUCACACCAUGAGAGUUUGUAACACCCAAAGCCGGUGGGGUAACCUUUUAGGAGCUAGCCGUUUAAAGGUGAU
This 1105-nucleotide ribosomal RNA is filed under the name Pediococcus pentosaceus. RNAcentral's name for it is "bacterial SSU rRNA". It matches the Rfam family "Bacterial small subunit ribosomal RNA", at positions 370 to 1466 of the family's 1533-position model. Lineage: Bacteria; Bacillati; Bacillota; Bacilli; Lactobacillales; Lactobacillaceae. The record is from RNAcentral.